CCGAUGAACUUUCAUAACCAUGCUUUUUUCACAGUAUUGGAUGCCGCAAUAUAUUCCAUCUCACAAGUACAGUCGGUCAUGGUGUGCUACUAGCAAACUGCUCCACCGUUCAGGACAUAAACGUAUCCCAACAUGCUCUUGCUGUCAUCAUGAUCCAACUAAAAACUGGAGUCUAUAAAAUUCUAUAAAUUUUAAGUUGGAUUCUUUAUAAAUAAGCCAC
RNAcentral lists this long non-coding RNA (220 nucleotides) under Elaeis guineensis (African oil palm). RNAcentral describes it as "long non-coding RNA (EGUI_LNC036832)". Lineage: Eukaryota; Viridiplantae; Streptophyta; Magnoliopsida; Arecales; Arecaceae. The record is from RNAcentral.